RNAcentral lists this ribosomal RNA (330 nucleotides) under uncultured Acidobacteriaceae bacterium. Its description in RNAcentral is "bacterial SSU rRNA". It matches the Rfam family "Bacterial small subunit ribosomal RNA", at positions 568 to 898 of the family's 1533-position model. The record is from RNAcentral. Lineage: Bacteria; Pseudomonadati; Acidobacteriota; Terriglobia; Terriglobales; Acidobacteriaceae.
UGUGUAGGCGGUUUUGUAAGUUUGGUGUGAAAUCUCCCGGCUUAACUGGGAGGGUGCGCCGAAAACUGCAAGGCUUGAGUGCUGGAGAGGAGAGCGGAAUUCCUGGUGUAGCGGUGAAAUGCGUAGAUAUCAGGAGGAACACCGGCGGUGUAGACGGCUCUCUGGACAGUAACUGACGCUGAGACACGAAAGCGUGGGGAGCAAACAGGAUUAGAUACCCUGGUAGUCCACGCCCUAAACGAUGCAUACUUGGUGUGAGCCAUUCAUUUGGUUCGUGCCGGAGCUAACGCGUUAAGUAUGCCGCCUGGGGAGUACGGUCGCAAGGCUGAA